AGAACGAACGCUGGCGGCAUGCCUAACACAUGCAAGUCGAACGCGUGUAGCAAUACACGAGUGGCGCACGGGUGAGUAACACGUGGGAACCUGCCCUGGAGUGGGGGAUAACCGAGGGAAACCUCGGCUAAUACCGCAUACGACCUGAGGGUGAAAGAUUUAUCGCUCUAGGAGGGGCCCGCGUCGGAUUAGCUAGUUGGUGAAGUAAUGGCUCACCAAGGCUAUGAUCCGUAGCUGGUCUGAGAGGAUGAUCAGCCACACUGGGACUGAGACACGGCCCAGACUCCUACGGGAGGCAGCAGUGGGGAAUAUUGGACAAUGGGGGCAACCCUGAUCCAGCAAUGCCGCGUGAGUGAUGAAGGCCUUAGGGUGUAAAGCUCUUUCGGCGGGGACGAUGAUGACGGUACCGCAGAAGAAGCCCCGGCUAACUUCGUGCCAGCAGCCGC
Molecule: ribosomal RNA, 446 nt
Filed under: uncultured bacterium
Lineage: Bacteria
Description: SSU rRNA
Rfam family: Bacterial small subunit ribosomal RNA
Source: RNAcentral